This is a long non-coding RNA of Pseudophryne corroboree (corroboree frog), 445 nucleotides long. RefSeq lists it as uncharacterized. The transcript has 3 exons. The record is from RefSeq and is a predicted model, not a curated record. Lineage: Eukaryota; Metazoa; Chordata; Amphibia; Anura; Myobatrachidae.
GGAUUUUCAAGCAGAAGGACCUCUGCUCCUUGUUGCAGACUGCGAGGGAGCAGGAAGCAGAGGCAUGCACUACCAGAUAACUAGCAGACAGCCUGGGCCUGCGGUGAGGCUGUGACAUAUUUCAUCAUCUCACCACAUAUUUUCGAAAGCUGCAUCUCUGCAACCUGUUACUUGCCAGUGGCGUCUGCAAAACUCCAGCUAUGACUCCCGCCCCCUUGUCGUAUUCACCUGAGAUGCAAUAGGAUUGCCACUGGAGGCGUGGCUUAACAGUACAGAAAGUGCAAAUGAAGUUACUGGUCAGACAGCCCAGCUCAUAAGAACCCAAGUGGCUUGGAACAUCGGAAUUUCUCUGCGAACCCAACAUAUAUAUAUAUAUAUAUAUAUAUAUAUAUAUAUAUAUAUUUAAAAAGUAUUGUUUUCAUUUCAACACUUGAAUAAAUGAAUG